Molecule: ribosomal RNA, 253 nt
Filed under: uncultured bacterium
Lineage: Bacteria
Description: partial 16S ribosomal RNA
Rfam family: Bacterial small subunit ribosomal RNA
Source: RNAcentral
UACAGAGGUCCCGAGCGUUGUUCGGAUUCACUGGGCGGAAAGGGUGCGUAGGUGGUGGGGUAAGUCGGAUGUGAAAUCUCGGAGCUCAACUCCGAAAUGGCAUUGGAAACUACCCUGCUGGAGGUUUGGAGGGGGGACUGGAAUACUUGGUGUAGCAGUGAAAUGCGUAGAUAUCAAGUGGAACACCAGUGGCGAAGGCGAGUCCCUGGACAAAACCUGACACUGAGGCACGAAAGCUAGGGGAGCAAACAGG